This 652-nucleotide ribosomal RNA is filed under the name uncultured organism. RNAcentral describes it as "bacterial SSU rRNA". It matches the Rfam family "Bacterial small subunit ribosomal RNA", at positions 1 to 663 of the family's 1533-position model. The record is from RNAcentral.
GGCUUAGAGUUUGAUCAUGGCUCAGGAUAAACGCUGGCGGCGCACAUAAGACAUGCAAGUCGAACGGACCAAAACAAUAGUUUACUAAUGUCGAGGUUAGUGGCGGACUGGUGAGUAACACGUAAGCAACCUGCCUAACAGAGGGGAACAACAGUUAGAAAUGACUGCUAAUACCGCAUAUGCCUAAGAAUCGCAUGAUUCAAUAGGGAAAGGAGAAAUCCGCUGAUAGAUGGGCUUGCGACUGAUUAGCUAGUUGGUGGGGUAGAGGCCUACCAAGGCAACGAUCAGUAGCCGAACUGAGAGGUUGAACGGCCGCAUUGGGACUGAGAUACGGCCCAGACUCCUACGGGAGGCAGCAGUCGGGAAUAUUGCGCAAUGGAGGAAACUCUGGCGCAGUGACGCCGCGUGCAGGAAGAAGGUUUUCGGAUUGUAAACUGCUUUAGACAGGGAAGAAGAAAGGACAGUACCUGUAGAAUAAGCUCCGGCUAACUACGUGCCAGCAGCCGCGGUAAUACGUAGGGAGCGAGCGUUGUCCGGAUUUAUUGGGUGUAAAGGGUGCGUAGACGGGAAUGUAAGUUAGUUGUGAAAUACCUCGGCUUAACUGAGGAACUGCAACUAAAACUAUAUUUCUUGAGUACUGGAGAGGAAAGUG